AGUCGAGCGGACGGAUGGGAGCUUGCUCCCUGAAGUCAGCGGCGGACGGGUGAGUAACACGUGGGCAACCUGCCUGUAAGACUGGGAUAACUCCGGGAAACCGGGGCUAAUACCGGAUAACUCUUUUCCUCACAUGAGGAAAAGCUGAAAGAUGGUUUCGGCUAUCACUUACAGAUGGGCCCGCGGCGCAUUAGCUAGUUGGUGAGGUAACGGCUCACCAAGGCCACGAUGCGUAGCCGACCUGAGAGGGUGAUCGGCCCCACUGGGACUGAGACACGGCCCAGACUCCUACGGGAGGCAGCAGUAGGGAAUCUUCCGCAAUGGACGAAAGUCUGACGGAGCAACGCCGCGUGAGUGAUGAAGGUUUUCGGAUCGUAAAACUCUGUUGUCAGGGAAGAACAAGUACCGGAGUAACUGCCGGUACCUUGACGGUACCUGACCAGAAAGCCACGGCUAACUACGUGCCAGCAGCCGCGGUAAUACGUAGGUGGCAAGCGUUGUCCGGAAUUAUUGGGCGUAAAGCGCGCGCAGGCGGUUCCUUAAGUCUGAUGUGAAAGCCCCCGGCUCAACCGGGGAGGGUCAUUGGAAACUGGGGAACUUGAGUGCAGAAGAGAAGAGUGGAAUUCCACGUGUAGCGGUGAAAUGCGUAGAGAUGUGGAGGAACACCAGUGGCGAAGGCGACUCUUUGGUCUGUAACUGACGCUGAGGCGCGAAAGCGUGGGGAGCACACAGGAUUAGAUACCCUGGUAGUCCACGCCGUAAACGAUGAGUGCUAAGUGUUAGAGGGUUUCCGCCCUUUAGUGCUGCAGCAAACGCAUUAAGCACUCCGCCUGGGGAGUACGGCCGCAAGGCUGAAACUCAAAGGGAAUUUGACGGGGGGCCCGGCACAAGCGGUGGUAGCAUGGUGGGUUUAAAUUCGAAAGCAAGCGCGUAGACCCUUACCAGGUCUUGACAUCUCCUGACACCCUAGAGAUAGGG
This 978-nucleotide ribosomal RNA is filed under the name Cytobacillus firmus. Its description in RNAcentral is "bacterial SSU rRNA". It matches the Rfam family "Bacterial small subunit ribosomal RNA", at positions 60 to 1011 of the family's 1533-position model. The record is from RNAcentral. Lineage: Bacteria; Bacillati; Bacillota; Bacilli; Caryophanales; Bacillaceae.